This 320-nucleotide ribosomal RNA is filed under the name uncultured Gammaproteobacteria bacterium. RNAcentral describes it as "bacterial SSU rRNA". It matches the Rfam family "Bacterial small subunit ribosomal RNA", at positions 30 to 346 of the family's 1533-position model. The record is from RNAcentral. Lineage: Bacteria; Pseudomonadati; Pseudomonadota; Gammaproteobacteria.
AUUGAACGCUGGCGGCAGGCCUAACACAUGCAAGUCGAGCGGUAACAGGGAUAGCUUGCUAUCUGCUGACGAGCGGCGGACGGGUGCGUAACGCGUAGGAAUUUGCCCGGUAGUGGGGGAUAUCCCGGAGAAAUUCGGAUUAAUACCGCAUACCUUCUACGGAAGAAAGCAGGGGAUCUUCGGACCUUGCGCUAUCGGAUGAGCCUGCGUCGGAUUAGCUAGUUGGUGGGGUAAAUGCCUACCAAGGCGACGAUCCGUAGCUGGUCUGAGAGGAUGAUCAGCCACACUGGGACUGAGACACGGCCCAGACUCCUACGGGA